This is a long non-coding RNA of Passer domesticus (house sparrow), 1687 nucleotides long. RefSeq lists it as uncharacterized. The record is from RefSeq and is a predicted model, not a curated record. Lineage: Eukaryota; Metazoa; Chordata; Aves; Passeriformes; Passeridae. The transcript has 5 exons.
GCAGCCAUUGCAAACAAGACCACUUUUUACUGAAUUAUGUUCAGCCAUAAAUUGCUGCAUUCCAUGGCAUGAAAACCUCAGCAAAGGACACGUGACUGGCAGACACACGGAGUUGUUGGACAGACAGACAAGCAUCUGUCUUCUCUGCCUCCAGGUGCAACUGCUACACAACCACUCUCUGCUUCUGCCACAGGUUCGUCUCUUUUUGCCUGAGUUGCAGAGCCAUGGAGCCCCGUUGGCAGCUGGAGCCCAAAGCCACAAAGAUGAGGAAUCACUGAACAUAGGAUCCCUCAUUUCUCAGGCUUGUAAAUGAGAAGAUUCAAAGAGUCAGGUGUGAAGCACUGCUGAAGGGAAUAUAAGAAACCUGCACUGAAAAACACCUUCUCUAGGAUUGUAUCAACUCAGCAAAACUGCCUGAGACCACAGAACUUUUUUGCUGAUUACUCUGUAAAAGCGUCACUUCUCCUGAGUUCCCAAAGCAUUUGAACAUCAGCAAGUAGCCUGGGAUGUUGCAGUCACUUGGGUGUCCCAGUGCUGUCAUGAAUUUUGUUCACACAGCAUUGAAAACAAAAGCUGGGAUUUGUUUCACAAAGAAAUUUGAAACAAUGAAAAAAAAUGACAGAGAAGAAUAAGCACGUGCUUUUUAUGACUUCUCCCCCUUCCCUGUGCUGGUACCACAUCAAUAAUGGAGUGAGGGGCAGGUUGAGCCUGAAUGUUCAGAAUGAGAGCUCAAGGAGGCUGCAAAAGAUGUCAUGACCAAGAGGGAGCUCCCACCAGCCAUUCCUUUAUCUGCUGUGACAUAUAUGAGCUGCCAGGACAGUCCCAGUGAGCUGCCAGGACACUUGGGUCCUUGUUGGAGCUCCGAGGGCACGAGCCAGAGUGCACAGGCCAGCACUGCUGUCUGUCUGUCUCUGUCUGUCUGCCUACAGAGCAGGGCACAGCAAUCCUUACAUCUCAAAUAUGCACCCUAGCUGCAGGCUGGAUUUUCUGAAAGGUUUUCUUGCUGCGUGUCCCAGCUAAGCUGAGUGUGAAAGCUGACAGGAGACGAAGCCACAGGAUCUGGGCUGACAUUUACAAGUUCUUCAGCUCUCAGGGACAAACACCGACUUGUAACUCUGCAUCAGCAAAUUAUUCAUUUAUUUUUUCUCUGUGUGCAUCUGCUGAGAGAUACUGGCUAAAAUUACAGUGGGUACUCUUUUUGUAUGUACCUACAUGUGUGUGUAUAUAUGCAUUAGCACACAGAUAUUUAAAAUGGAAAGGAAGAAAAUGGAACUGUAAAUUAAUAACUCUAUCUUAAUUUGUUGUUUCAAAUUAAUGUUUUGGUCAUUCACAUUGAGUUUGACUCAAAAUAACAAGCCCAUCUGUCUGAAGAAGAUAUAUCCAGAUGCUAAUAUCAGGACAACAAUACAAGACCAUGCUAUUUGAAAAAAAGGACUAUUCUCUACGCUAAGAAGUCAAUAUAGCUCUCCUGUGAAAGAAAUGAAGUGUGUAUCUGUCCCUGUAUAGGAUUCUUCUAGGCUUGGGAGAAAGCUAUUACAGAGAAUGAAUCAAAAACAAAGCAACAUUUAUUGGUGCUUUCUUUAAGGGAAGAGAAGAGAGAAUAAAAUUUGCUCUAUCAUAAAAUAUUUACAUGGGUUUUUCUGUAAAUCACAGUAGAGAGAAAAUAAUAGGACAGAAAAGGAAGAUG